This is a long non-coding RNA of Lucilia cuprina (Australian sheep blowfly), 1427 nucleotides long. RefSeq lists it as uncharacterized. The record is from RefSeq and is a predicted model, not a curated record. The transcript has 3 exons. NCBI's taxonomy places the organism in Eukaryota, Metazoa, Arthropoda, Insecta, Diptera, Calliphoridae.
UUAAUGUACUUCUUAUAUUAGUAAAUAUUUAUUAAAAAAUUAUACUAAAUGCUAUGAAGUUUAAAAUUAAAGAAAAAAACGCGAAAACUAUAAAGUAAGAGAGAUAAAACUCUGAAAUAUAUCAAAGAAAAUAUCAAAGUUGACAUUACUUUCAACAUAAAUGCCAUAGAAAAAAAGUAAAGACCAAGAAAUUAAUUAGACCCAAAGAAAGAAAAUCAACUCUGGUUUUUGACACAACAAAUAAGAGUUGCUUUUCUUGUUUAUUCUUAAAAACAGCUGCUACGUUCUUACGUAUAAACUAACUACACAUAAACAGUCAACGGAACGUCACAGAACGAAAACGUUACGGAACUUUCAAACUAACUGAGCCUAACUAAUGCAUUUAAAUUGGAGAUAUUGACGCUUAAAACAGAAAUGUUUCCUUGUGCACACACUGCUAACGCGGUUGCAGAAAAAAUAAGAAACACCCUAGCCGAAUAUUAUUUAAAUGACAAAAAAAUAUGCGCUGUCACUGAUGGUGGGACAAAUAUUGUAGCAGCUUUAAGAUCAAGUGAAAUUAUCCGUUAUGGUUGCAGUGCUCAUGCGUUACAUGGUUUUGUGUCGUAUGAUGUUUUAAACAAUGAAGAUUUUAGGCAUAUUAACGUCAUAAUUGGUAAACUAAAGGAUAUAUUUCGCACCUUAAUGUACAGCUCGGCGGAGAUUACAAAACUAAAAAAUUUAGAGCAACAGGAUGAGUUGUUCAAAUUUAUAUUGGAUACUCAAAAAAUGAUUGAAGAACACGAAAAAACGAACAAUUUCCCAGUGGAAAUGACAACUUUGAUGAUCACUUUGAAAAGUCAUUGAUAAUUUCAAUUCCAUCAGACGAGAUGCCAUCAACCAGCAGAGUCGCUUUAGAAAACACCAAAAACAGACAGUAGAAAAUGUCUGAUAGUAGAAGGAAAUGUUAUCAUUUUUGAUUAAUGAAUCAACAAUUGAAAAAAAGACUCAUUAGAAAUGGAAAUAAGAAAAUAUUUCGCUAUAAAUGUAGAAGAAACAUAAAGUAUUGAGUGGUGGCAGGAACACAAAGAGAUUUUUCCAAAUGUCGCUAAACUUGCUAAUGUUUGCUUUGGGAUACCAGCAACAUCUGCCUCAUCCGAGCAAGAAUUUUCCGUCGCUGGGGGUUGUAUCAAUGAAAAAAGAAGCCGCCUAAAUCCAACAAUAAAAAAACAAUUAUUCACGAUAAUUGGACCUCUGCAUAGUAUACUUAACAAGGUACCAACCAAAGUAAAUUAAUAAAGUAGCAUCACUUGAACAGCUGACUAUUUUUUUGAACUAUAGUUUCUAUAGAAAAAUAAAAUUAGUUGUCAAAGUUUGUUCUGAAAUUUGUUAACAUUGCUUAUGUCGCUAUUUUUAAAUUGUGUUUUGCUAUUUGUUAAAAUUUGUGAAAA